This 212-nucleotide unclassified non-coding RNA is filed under the name uncultured Clavariaceae. RNAcentral's name for it is "sequence contains ITS2". The record is from RNAcentral. Lineage: Eukaryota; Fungi; Basidiomycota; Agaricomycetes; Agaricales; Clavariaceae.
AAUUCUCAACUUCAAAUACUUUGUUGUAUUUUGAAGCUUGGACUAUGGAGGUCUUUGCCGGCGUCAUUGUCAGCUCCUCUUAAAUGCAUUAGCGGAACUUUAUUAAAAGGACCAGCUUUGGUUUGAUAAUCCUAUCUAUGCCGUCGCUGUGGACUUGUUGUUCAGCUUCAAAUGGUCUUCGGACUGUCUCCUUGUGAGGCAUACACUUUUAA